CCGAACAAAACAUCAUAUCAACCAACCAUGUGAAAUGUUUUGGGUGACCUUUACUGGAGGGAUAGCUGGAGUUGUUAUGCGUGCGCCUUUCGGGGUGCGCGUAUAGCUCAUCUCCAAAUUUUUUAUCCCUUCAGGCCUUGAUGAACUACCUUGUAACAAAGGUUGAUUUUAUAUCGUCUUUUCAACUUUAGAAAAGUAAAUGAUAUGA
RNAcentral lists this unclassified non-coding RNA (208 nucleotides) under soil metagenome. RNAcentral describes it as "partial internal transcribed spacer 1". The record is from RNAcentral.